GAUGAACGCUGGCGGCGUGCUUAACACAUGCCAGUCGAACGAUGAAGCCCAGCUUGCUGGGUGGAUUAGUGGCGAACGGGUGAGUAACACGUGAGUAACCUGCCCUUAACUCUGGGAUAAGCCUGGGAAACUGGGUCUAAUAUCGGAUAGGAGCGUCCACCGCAUGGUGGGUGUUGGAAAGAUUUAUCGGUUUUGGAUGGACUCGCGGCCUAUCAGCUUGUUGGUGAGGUAAUGGCUCACCAAGGCGACGACGGGUAGCCGGCCUGAGAGGGUGACCGGCCACACUGGGACUGAGACACGGCCCAGACUCCUACGGGAGGCAGCAGUGGGGAAUAUUGCACAAUGGGCGCAAGCCUGAUGCAGCGACGCCGCGUGAGGGAUGACGGCCUUCGGGUUGUAAACCUCUUUCAGUAGGGAAGAAGCGAAAGUGACGGUACCUGCAGAAGAAGCACCGGCUAACUACGUG
RNAcentral lists this ribosomal RNA (466 nucleotides) under uncultured bacterium. Its description in RNAcentral is "partial 16S ribosomal RNA". It matches the Rfam family "Bacterial small subunit ribosomal RNA", at positions 28 to 507 of the family's 1533-position model. The record is from RNAcentral.